UACGUAGGUGCGAAGCGUUGUCCGGAAUUAUUGGGCGUAAAGAGCUCGUAGGCGGUCUGUCACGUCGGGCGUGAAAAUCCAGGGCUUAACCCUGGACCUGCGUUCGAUACGGGCAGACUAGAGUUCGGUAGGGGAGACUGGAAUUCCUGGUGUAGCGGUGAAAUGCGCAGAUAUCAGGAGGAACACCUGUGGCGAAAGCGGCUCACUGGACCAUAACUGACGCUGAUGCACGAAAAGCUAGGGGAGCAAACAGG
This 254-nucleotide ribosomal RNA is filed under the name uncultured bacterium. RNAcentral describes it as "partial 16S ribosomal RNA". It matches the Rfam family "Bacterial small subunit ribosomal RNA", at positions 524 to 776 of the family's 1533-position model. The record is from RNAcentral.